Phacochoerus africanus (Common warthog) is the source of this 2277-nucleotide long non-coding RNA. RefSeq lists it as uncharacterized. Lineage: Eukaryota; Metazoa; Chordata; Mammalia; Artiodactyla; Suidae. The record is from RefSeq and is a predicted model, not a curated record. The transcript has 7 exons.
AACUAUUUGACCUGACAUAAAAUAAAGUUUGUUAUAAAUUUUAAAUAUUUUACAGAUAUAAAAACGGAGAUUUAGGGAACGCGGCAUCAUUCCACCAGCAGGUGACAGACACAAAGAAGGUCCUUAGGCAGAAAUUCCUCUUAUUUUGGGGUCAGCCUUUUUUUUCUACUCGAGGCUUCAGCUGACUGAGUGAGGUUCACCCGUAUUAGGAAGGACCAUCUCCUGAUGCAAAUGUUAAAUCUCCUCCCAAAACACGUGCACAGAAAUACACGGUAUCAUAUUCAGCCAAAUAAUCUGGGCUUCGUCAAGAUCACUCAUAAAACGAACCACCACAAACAUACUCAAUACGUAACAUGCGAUGGCCCCUUUCUGCUGCCCACUGGUUGAAAAGACUAACAGUGCACAUUCCUGCUUCCAAGGAGUUUGUCGUGGAACCUAGAAGGCCAUCACGUGCACGACUACAUACAACACAGAUGGGGAAACUGGCUCGGAGACACCCCAAGGUCACAGAAGGACUAAGUAGCAGGGCUGGAGUUCGAGCCCAGCGGCCUGACUCUCGAGCCUGAGUCUUUAAGGAAACACUUAGGACCAAGCCAGCCUGCUUCAAAGAACAGAGGAAGGACAGCUGGAGAAGAGAUCACAGGCACAGCAAGGUUGAACACACAAGCUAACGUUAAACAGCUAUUAAGUGACAGAGAUGGAUUUGAGGCAAAGGUUUGCUCGUGCACCCUUAAGGAGGAGAGUGAGACACUCAGAUGUUUCUGGCACCUCCCAUUGACAGAAGCCAAUUGACAAAGGGAUCUAGGCCAUGCGGUCUGCAGAGAUAAAGCCCCGAGGGCACAGAGCAGCCCCCCCAAAAAGGGAAGAGAAAGUAUAAAGCGACGGUGGAUUGAAAAGUGGAGGAGCAACCUGCCAUUCUUAGAGGAGAGGUAAUUUGGAAAGCCACAGUGAGGUUCUGGAGGAAGAGUCUUCGAGACGAUGAGAUUUUCCAAGGAGAGGCCACCCGGAGGAGGAACCUUCAUCCCCGUCACUGUGCCCGUUCUUAAUGGUAGAACGCCGCCCAGCUGCCAUUUGCCUGCUGUCGGAGCGCUCCUCUUCUCCCUCGUCCAGCUAAUGCUGAGGCCGAGACAGUGAGCCACAGGGGCUUCAUCCAUCCACCAAGUUUUUGCAGGUCAGAAGUCUAGGAGCCGCCUGGCUGGGUGUUUCUGGCUCAGGAUUUCUUGUGAAAUUAUCAUCAAGACUUUGGCUGAGAUGCAGUCAUUUGAAGGCUUGCCUGGGGCUAGAGGAUCCCCUUUGAAGAUGGUGUACCCACAUGCUUGACAGUUUCAGUUCCAGGUUUCCAAGAAAUGGAUGCGAGAUGGAAUUGAACUUGUUAAAGAUGUGUGGUGGGCACGGUUGCCAAGUGGUAAGUCUUUGUUAAAGAUGUGUGAUGAUGAGAAAGAUGCUUGUGAAAGAAAAGGUUGGAGGGAGGAGGAGCAUGUGGGAUGAACUGCAGAUCAGGAUUCGUGAGUGAUGCCCAUGGGAGGAGAGGUGGAAGGGAGCACGCUCGGAAGGGUCUCGGUGUACCCCACUGCUCUGAUAAAGUCUUUGCUGGGGUAGCUAGGAGCACCUAAGCAAAGGUUGCCGUUAAAAGAGGAAGAAACAGCCUAGCCCUAGUAACCGCGCCAUGCUCCCUCAUUUUCCCAAAGAGCUGGUCAUUAGAGCUGCCAACCAGCUGUGCUCCCUGCAGCAAGAAUUCUUGAAGGAGAGCUGCAUGGAAACCCUGUGGCCGGCCACAGUCCAUGCCUUGUGCCACACAAUUAAAUCUCCAUGCGUUGUGUGGGCCUCUUUUCCUAAAAGAAAAAUCAGUAGAAGGAGCUUGGUGGGACCAACUGCAGCCUCCGUUGCCAUAGUUGAUUUGAGGUUUACAAGUAAUAUCGACUCUUCCCUCCUUCAUUAUCUGUUGCCAAUUCCCCGCAUCCUCUGAUAUCAUCUCCAGGGGCCUCGGUGGGUGAUCCACAGCUUCCCUUCUGAAGUGUCUUGAGCCUAAGGUGUACUCCUUUUUAGACCGUUGUUGCUGGACGUGUCCACUCACAGCUACAACAGGCAAGAGAAUGCAGGAGGCACUGGUGUGGGUCAGGUCUCCUAUACGCUUUUCUCCUGCUCGCACUGAAUAACACCAGCCCCAUAUCCUUUGGCUAAUCAGUAUUCCCCGUCUUACCUGUUAGUCUCUUGACACAAGAAAUUCAAAGAUCUGUAGUGCCAGCACUACCUUGCUAUUUGAAAGGACUCGAGGGA